CUCCUUCAAUGUCACAAUCGCAUCGCUAAUCAUCUGCAGCAACCAAAAAAAAAAAGUUUAACUUCAAAGCAUAAUUCAACCAAACCAAAAACAUACAUGAACAAAACUGAAAAAUGAAAAUAUAUGAAAAACUCCAUUAUCAAUUACCUCAAAGUAAGGAGGAUGAGAGGAAGCAGUUUUCUUCCUGGGGGCAGCGGGUUUUUUAGCCUUAGGCUCUUUCUUUGAUUUUGCAGACUUGGCUGGAGGGUUAAUCUCCUCCUCCGUGACCGGUUCAGGAGCGGCGGGUUCAAUUGCAACCUCGUUUGCUACAACUGGUUCUUCAGUGGCCAUUUUCGAAGCAGAGAAAUGGGAAUCGAGAGAAGGUUAGGGUUUAGCG
Molecule: long non-coding RNA, 376 nt
Filed under: Nicotiana tabacum (common tobacco)
Lineage: Eukaryota; Viridiplantae; Streptophyta; Magnoliopsida; Solanales; Solanaceae
Description: long non-coding RNA (NTAB_LNC000741)
Source: RNAcentral